Molecule: long non-coding RNA, 1916 nt
Organism: Neofelis nebulosa (Clouded leopard)
Lineage: Eukaryota; Metazoa; Chordata; Mammalia; Carnivora; Felidae
Exons: 2
Source: RefSeq, a predicted model, not a curated record
ACAUUAAAAAAAAAAAAAAGAUUUUUAUUUUUACAUAAUCUCGACACCCAACCUGGAGCUCGAACUCACAACCCCAAGAUCGAGAGUCGCAGGCUCCAGUGACUGAGCCGGCCAAGGCACCCCAGGAGAGAUUUUUCUAAGUUCCUCCAGGAGGCGGUGGCUCAUAGGCUAAGAGAAAACAGAAGCAGAGAAGGUAGAAGGGGUCGUGAAGAGCUUUCAGGCACCUCCAGACCAGGAGACACGUGCUCUCCACCUGCAGCACUUUGCAGAAGUGACAGGCACCCAGCGCUACAGCAGGGGGAGGCAUCAUGGGGCUCGAUCUGAGCGUGAGGCCCCCGAGCCUAGCGCCAGAGCAGGAGGUCUACUCCUCUUGAAUGGAUCACAUGGGCUUAUCCCUUUUUUUAUUAAGUUUAUUUAUUUAUUUAUUUUGAGAGGGAGAGAGAGAAACCUAAGCAGGCUCUGCAAUGUCAGCGCAGAGCUUGAUGCGGGGCUCGAACCCACGAACCGCGAGAUCAUGACCUGAGCCGAAGUCGGACGCUUUACCGACUGAGCCACCCAGGCGCCCCCCGAAACAAAUGUUUUUCAUAAAAAUAAAAAGAGAUGUUGAAAGCAGACAUUCUUGCCUUGUCCCUGAUCUUAAGGGGAAGGUACUCAGUCUCACCAAAAGUAUGAUAUUGCGCCCCGGGUUUUCAUCUUUUAUCAGGUUGGGAAGAUUCCCUUCUGUUUCUAGUUUACUGAGAAUUUUGUUUGUUUGUUUGUUUUUUAAUGAGAAAUAAAUAUUUUGUCAAUGAUUUUUCUGCAGCUAUUGAGAUGAUCAUAUGUUCUUUUAGUCAAAAAACAGAGUCAAAGACUCUGUUCUUUGACUUUCUAAUGUUAAACCAGCAUUGUGUCCUUGGUGUUACUUUAGCCAUGAAGAAUAUUGGCUGGUAGUUUUAUUUUGUGGUUAAGCACUCUGUCUGGGUUUGGUAUCAGUGUAAGCUGGGAAAUAUUACCUCCUUUUCAAGUCUCUGGCAGAAUUUGUGUAAAUUACUAAUAGUUCUUCUUUAUACACUUGGUAGAAUUCAGCAGGAAGGCAUGUGAGCCUAGAGUUUUCUUUGUGAAACGGCACAAACUAGACAUUGUUGUUGUUGUUUUAAAUGUUUAUCUAUUUUUGAGAGAGAGAGAGAGAGAGAGAGAAGGGGUGGGGCAGAGAGAGGGGGACAGAGGAUCUGAAGCGGGCUCUCUGCUGUCAGCACAGAGCCCAAUUUGGGGCUCAAACCCAUGAACUGCAAGAUAAUGACCUAAGCCAAAGUCGGACACUUAACUGAGCCACCCAGGCGCCCCUAAACAUGUCAUUAAUUGCUAUUUUACAUGGAUGACACUGGCUUAGAUUCUUGCGUUUCAAUUUUUCUUUUUUUUUUUUUUUAAUGUUUAUUUAUUUUUGAGAGAGAGAGACACAGAGCACCAGCGGGAGAGGGGCAGAGAGAGAGGGAGACACAGAAUCUGAAGCAGGUUCCAGGCUCUGAGCUGUCAGCACAGAGCCCAACGCGGGGCUCGAACCCACCAACCGCCGAUAAUGACCUGAGCCGAAGUCAGACGCUCAACCAACUAAGCCACCCAGGCGCCCCUUGAAAAUAUAUUUAAAAAAAAAAAAAAAAGCAGCACACUGGUCCUUUGUUCACCACUCUGCCUGAACUAGAUUCCAAUUCCCAUUUUCCAGGCACUGUGUAAGUCCUUUCGAUCUUUGUAGGACUCCGGGGAAGGGAGGAAGCCCUCCAAAACAGGAGUGAGAUUUCAUUUCUUUCUACUCUGAUGAGCAGAGACUCAGGGAAAAAUAAGAUUCAAGUUAGAAAGAAAAGGAAGUAUUUCUUACGUUGGCACAUAAGAUAAAAUUCACAAUCACUGCGUCGGAAUAAAAUAGAAUUCUUAAACUUAAA